Long non-coding RNA from Rhea pennata, 415 nucleotides. RefSeq lists it as uncharacterized. The transcript is spliced from 4 exons. The record is from RefSeq and is a predicted model, not a curated record. NCBI's taxonomy places the organism in Eukaryota, Metazoa, Chordata, Aves, Rheiformes, Rheidae.
UCUACAGUUCCGUUUCUAAUGAUCAGAGAAUGAAAUAAGUCAUUGCCUAAGGCUAUACCAAAAGAGAGAGAAGCCUUAACUACAUCAUCCUAAAUAGUGCUGAGACACACACACACUCUGUGGAAAAGCAAGUAUGUAAGACCUAGGACAGAAGCAAAUAGCUGAAAUAACUAGAAAGAAAUGGAGUUAAAUGUAUACAACAAGCACCAAGAAACAGGGUUGCAAUGCUUUGGGUGCUACUAUUGCUCAUACUUCUUGCUUCUCAGAACCCUUCCAUUCACAUUCUUGUGGAACUGAAGUUCAACUCCAAGAAAAAUCAAGGUGACUUCUUCGGUCUGGUUCAGGUACUGCUUUAUAUCUUUGUGGUACAGCCUACAAAGCUUGACUUCUGGUGGCUGGGAACUCUGUACUCCUC